RNAcentral lists this ribosomal RNA (450 nucleotides) under uncultured bacterium. Its description in RNAcentral is "partial 16S ribosomal RNA". It matches the Rfam family "Bacterial small subunit ribosomal RNA", at positions 354 to 796 of the family's 1533-position model. The record is from RNAcentral.
GUGGGGAAUCUUCCACAAUGGACGAAAGUCUGAUGGAGCAACGCCGCGUGAGUGAAGAAGGGUUUCGGCUCGUAAAGCUCUGUUGUCGGGGACGAAUGUGCAGUAUUUGAAUAAAGUACUGCAAUGACGGUACCUGACGAGGAAGCCACGGCUAACUACGUGCCAGCAGCCGCGGUAAUAAGUAGGUGGCAAGCGUUGUCCGGAAUUAUUGGGCGUAAAGGGAGCGCAGGCGGGAAGGUAAGUCGGUCUUAAAAGUGCGGGGCUCAACCCCGUGAUGGGAUCGAAACUAUCUUUCUUGAGUGCAGGAGAGGAAAGUGGAAUUCCUAGUGUAGCGGUGAAAUGCGUAGAUAUUAGGAGGAACACCAGUGGCGAAGGCGACUUUCUGGACUGUAACUGACGCUGAGGCUCGAAAGCCAGGGGAGCGAACGGGAUUAGAAACCCCGGUAGUCC